RNAcentral lists this ribosomal RNA (512 nucleotides) under uncultured bacterium. RNAcentral describes it as "bacterial SSU rRNA". It matches the Rfam family "Bacterial small subunit ribosomal RNA", at positions 15 to 518 of the family's 1533-position model. The record is from RNAcentral.
GAUUAUGGCUCAGGAUGAACGCUAGCGGCAGGCUUAACACAUGCAAGUCGAGGGGCAGCGUCUGAGUAGCAAUACUCGUGGCGGCGACCGGCGAAAGGGUGAGUAACGCGUGAGCAACAUGCCCGAUAGUGGAGGAUAGUCGAUGGAAACGUCGUGUAAUACUCCGUAACAUACGGGACCGCAUGAUUCUGUAUUAAUAGAUUUAUUGCUAUCGGAUUGGCUCGCGUACCAUUAGCUAGUUGGCGGGGUAACGGCCCACCAAGGCGACGAUGGUUAGGGGUUCUGAGAGGAAGGUCCCCCACAUUGGAACUGAGACACGGUCCAGACUCCUACGGGAGGCAGCAGUGAGGAAUAUUGGACAAUGGCCGGAAGGCUGAUCCAGCCAUGCCGCGUGCCGGGAAGACGGCCCUAUGGGUUGUAAACCGCUUUUGUUGGGGAGCAAUAAGGUCCACGUGUGGAUUGAUGAGAGUACCCAGCGAAUAAGCAUCGGCUAACUCCGUGCCAGCCGCCGC